Non-coding RNA from Acanthosepion pharaonis, 113 nucleotides. The record is from the annotation of a GenBank genome assembly. Lineage: Eukaryota; Metazoa; Mollusca; Cephalopoda; Sepiida; Sepiidae.
UACAGCCAUAUCUUGUAGAAACACCGCAUAACGUACGAUCUCCAAAGUUAAGCUACGUAGAGCCUGGUCAGUGCCGACGUGGGUGAUCGCUUGGAAAUACCAGAUGCUGUAAG